CAUUAGAUGGCUGAAUUGUAAGUAUUGGUCUCUUAAACCACAUAAUAGUAUAAAUAACAUAUACUUCUAAUGA
Molecule: transfer RNA, 73 nt
Filed under: Pseudolycoriella sp. XQM-2020
Lineage: Eukaryota; Metazoa; Arthropoda; Insecta; Diptera; Sciaridae
Description: tRNA-Lys
Source: RNAcentral